GAAAUGCGAUACGUAAUGUGAAUUGCAGAUUCCGCGAAUCAUCAAAUUGUUGAACGCAAAUGGCACUCUUUGGCAUUCCGAAGAGUAUACCUGUUUGAGUAUCAUUUCCAACCUAUCAACAUUAUGUUGAUGUAGUGAGUAAUUGUAUUUUUUUGUACAUUACUUGGAAUGAAUAAUUUUAGUUUUACUAGCAAGUUAAGCGUACCGCUUUUUAUAAAAAGAGCUGGACGUGCUAGUAAAAAUACACAUCUUGAUCUCAAAUCAGGCAAGACUACCCGCUGAACUUAA
RNAcentral lists this unclassified non-coding RNA (288 nucleotides) under uncultured fungus. Its description in RNAcentral is "sequence contains ITS1". The stretch from base 1 to 104 matches the Rfam family "5.8S ribosomal RNA", at positions 50 to 154 of the family's 154-position model. The record is from RNAcentral. Lineage: Eukaryota; Fungi.